UCUAGGCGGAGACUGGCGCGCGGAGGAGAUGAGAGAGAGAGACGAGGGAAGGCGACGGUAGACGAGAGGUACACACGGUGGAAGUCGCUCGUCCCUGUCCUCUAUGAUUAUUGGUUCGCCAACCACAACCUCGUCUGGGCUUCCCUCUCUUGCAGGUGGCGGCCUCAACAUGAGCAAGCAACAUACAAGAAUCGGCAGUGGCUAUACCUCUCUGAGCAGAGACUGGAAUCUGGAAAUGGUUGUGUGUAAGGAAUCAGCUGCAACAUUGCAGACUGAUGGCUCUGUACCAAAUACUCUUGUUAUAGCAAAUUGUGAAGUCGUCAAGCCAAGAGUUGCAGCGGUGGAGCAUAUAUCCGAGUUCAAUGAAGAAGCUUGUUCACCAUUUGUGAAGAAAUACAAAACAAUCAUACAUCCGGCGGAGGUCAACAGAAUCAGGGAGCUUCCUCAGAAUAGCUAAAUAGUUGCAACACAUACUGACAGCCCUGAUGUAAGGAAAACUACAAUGUUGGUGUCAUUUUUGGCCAAGUUCACUUUUGUUAGGCUUUCUGUAAUGUCUCAAUACUCUUAUGAAGGUUUUUGUUUGGGAUGUUGACGCACAACCUAAUCGUCAUCCUAUGUUAGGAGCUACUGAAUCCCUUCCAGAUUUGGUAAGGAUAAAUCAGUUGUCUUGUGGAGCAUACAUGAUCAUAUCUCGUCUCUAUCAGAGUCAUUGUCAAAGUCGCCUGUCUCAUCAACUCCAAAUUCAAGUGGUAAGCAGCCCACUAAAGCUGGUAAUGUGAAAAGCU
Molecule: RNA transcript, 785 nt
Organism: Musa acuminata AAA Group (dessert banana)
Lineage: Eukaryota; Viridiplantae; Streptophyta; Magnoliopsida; Zingiberales; Musaceae
Gene name: WD-40 repeat-containing protein MSI4-like
Exons: 6
Source: RefSeq, a predicted model, not a curated record